This 286-nucleotide unclassified non-coding RNA is filed under the name plant metagenome. Its description in RNAcentral is "partial contains small subunit ribosomal RNA, internal transcribed spacer 1, and 5.8S ribosomal RNA". The stretch from base 1 to 55 matches the Rfam family "Eukaryotic small subunit ribosomal RNA", at positions 1778 to 1831 of the family's 1831-position model. The record is from RNAcentral.
GGAAGUAAAAGUUCGUAACAAGGUUUCCGUAGGUGAACCUGCGGAAGGAUCAUUAUUGUAUAACCGAGGUGCGAGGGCUGUCGCUGACCCGAAAGGUCGUGCACGCCCGAGUGCCCUCACACACAUCCAUCUCACCCCUAUGUGCACCACCGCGUGGGUCCCCCUUUGGCUUGUUCGGAGGGGGGCUUACGUUUUCACACAAACUUUGUAUGCAGUGUAGAAUGUAUUUUUUGUUUUUGCGAUCACGCAAUCAAUACAACUUUCAACAACGGAUCUCUUGGCUCUC